CCUACGGGAGGCUGCAGUGAGGAAUAUUGGUCAAUGGGCGAGAGCCUGAACCAGCCAAGUCGCGUGAGGGAGUACUGCCCUAUGGGUUGUAAACCUCUUUUGUCGGGGAGCAAAAGCCGGACGUGUCCGGCUGUGAGAGUACCCGAAGAAAACGCAUCGGCUAACGCUGUGCCAGCAGCCGCGGUAAUACGUGGGAUGCGAGGGUUAUCCGGAUUUAUUGGGUGUAAAGGGUGCGCAGGCGGAUUUUUAAGUCAGCGGUCAAAGCGUGGGGCUCAACCCCAUCCAGCCGUUGAAACUGGGGGUCUAGAGUGUGGGAGAGGUAUGCGGAAUGCGUGGUGUAGCGGUGAAAUGCAUAGAUAUCACGCAGAACCCCGAUUGCGAAGGCAGCAUACCGGUGCACAACUGACGCUCAGGCACGAAAGCGUGGGUAUCGAACAGGAUUAGAUACCCUGGUAGUC
Molecule: ribosomal RNA, 458 nt
Filed under: uncultured bacterium
Lineage: Bacteria
Description: partial 16S ribosomal RNA
Rfam family: Bacterial small subunit ribosomal RNA
Source: RNAcentral